AUCAACCAUAAAAAUAAAAAUAAAAACUGGAGAAAAAUAUUGUAUAAUUCCACGGUAAGAACUAACCCGAAAAUACUAAAAUGCGAUGGCUUUGAGAAUCUUCAAAGCUAAUUUAGAAUCUCCUCAUUCCUUAGUAGUACAGGUUACAAGCGUUGCACAUGCAUUCGACUAGUCACAAAAUAGCCACAUUAUGCUGCAAAAACUAAUUAAAUGAUCUUCAAUGAAGGGAGAAUAUUCCAUCAAACAUACCUGCCGAUGGCAGCCAUUGGAGUAGCAUCAUAGUAGUAGUUUGAGUUGUAGGAAGAAUACUCCGGCAAUGCCCUCCUUAACGGAGAGUGUUGGUAUGAAUUGGGCCAUAUGCCUCCUGGCAAAGCUGUCCGGUGCCCAUAUGCUUCAGUUAGGGAACUAUAUCGAGGGUACUCAUAACCAUGGCUAGAUUUAUAUGAACAAUUAUCCGAAUCGUUGUAAUAACUUCUUUUAUUUGGUCUUGGAUGAUCGAGUUUGGCCCACACAAGUUCGGCAUGUUGUCCAGUUCUAGACAAUGCUAAUAGGCAUAGAUUCGGAUCUACUUCACCGAUAAUAUUUGCUAUCCCUUCUUCUGC
Molecule: long non-coding RNA, 602 nt
Filed under: Olea europaea subsp. europaea
Lineage: Eukaryota; Viridiplantae; Streptophyta; Magnoliopsida; Lamiales; Oleaceae
Source: RNAcentral